RNAcentral lists this small nucleolar RNA (118 nucleotides) under Salvator merianae (Argentine black and white tegu). Its description in RNAcentral is "Small nucleolar RNA SNORA17 (ENSSMRG00000010458.1)". It matches the Rfam family "Small nucleolar RNA SNORA17". Rfam says of the family: snoRNA ACA 17 belongs to the H/ACA family of snoRNAs and is predicted to guide pseudouridylation of the 28S rRNA at positions U4659 and U4598. It shares the same host gene together with ACA43. The record is from Rfam by way of RNAcentral. Lineage: Eukaryota; Metazoa; Chordata; Lepidosauria; Squamata; Teiidae.
GCUGCCCCUCCAGGCACUGCAGGCACGGCUGCUGUGUGGUGCUUCUGUCAUGAGGAGGCAGAGAGGAACUGGCUGUGCCUGACGUGUGGGCACUUAGAAUGAUUGGCAGCCUAACAGG